This 433-nucleotide ribosomal RNA is filed under the name uncultured bacterium. Its description in RNAcentral is "partial 16S ribosomal RNA". It matches the Rfam family "Bacterial small subunit ribosomal RNA", at positions 29 to 507 of the family's 1533-position model. The record is from RNAcentral.
AACGAACGCUGGCGGCAUGCCUAACACAUGCAAGUCGAACGGAAACUUCUGGUCUAGUUGCGGAAGUGGGCGUGACACGGGGGGACCUGCCCUUAGGUUCGCAAUCACUCCCCGAAAGAGGUGCUAAUACCGGUGAAUGUAUUCGGGCCAAAGAUUUAUCGCCUUUGGGUGGGCCCGAGUUGGAUUACGUAGUUGGUAGGGUAAAAGCCUACCAAGGCGACGAUCCAGAGCUUGUCGGAGAGGAUGGUCAGCCACACUGGGACUGGGACACGGCCCAGACUCCUACGGGAGGCAGCAGUGGGGAAUAUAGGACAAUGGGCGAAAGCCUGAUACAGCAAUGCCGCGUGAGUGAUGAAGGCCUUAGGGUUGUAAAGCUCUUUUACCCGGGAUGAUAAUGACAGUACCGGGAGAAUAAGCACCGGCUAACUCCGUG